UCUGGCUCAGGAUGAACGCUGGCGGCGUGCUUAACACAUGCAAGUCGAACGGAGUUGUGAUGUGAGCGAGAGGUAGCUUGCUAUUAAUCAAUCUUUCAUAACUUAGUGGCGGACGGGUGAGUAACGCGUGGGUAACCUGCCCUGUACAGGGGGAUAACAGUUGGAAACGACUGCUAACACCGCAUAACAUCGCGAGGGCGCAUGACCUUGCGAUCAAAUAUUUAUAGGUACAGGAUGGGCCCGCGUCUGAUUAGCUAGUUGGCGAGGUAACGGCCCACCAAGGCGACGAUCAGUAGCCGUACUGAGAGGUAGAACGGCCACAUUGGGGACUGAGACACGGCCCAAACUCCUACGGGAGGCAGCAGUGGGGAAUAUUGGUCAAUGGGGGAAACCCUGAAACCCAGCGACGCCGCGUGAGUGAAGAAGUAUUUCGGUAUGUAAAGCUCUAUCAGCAGGGACGAUGAUGACGGUACCUGACUAAGAAGCCCCGGCUAACUACGUGCCAGCCGCCGC
RNAcentral lists this ribosomal RNA (513 nucleotides) under uncultured bacterium. RNAcentral describes it as "bacterial SSU rRNA". It matches the Rfam family "Bacterial small subunit ribosomal RNA", at positions 18 to 518 of the family's 1533-position model. The record is from RNAcentral.